AGUGAACGCUGGCGGUAGGCCUAACACAUGCAAGUCGAACGGCAGCACAGUAAGAGCUUGCUCUUACGGGUGGCGAGUGGCGGACGGGUGAGGAAUACAUCGGAAUCUACUUUUUCGUGGGGGAUAACGUAGGGAAACUUACUCUAAUACCGCAUACGACCUACGGGUGAAAGCAGUGGAUCUUCGGACCUUGCGCGAUUGAAUGAGCGGAUGUGGGAUUAGCUAGUUGGCGGGGUAAAGGCCCACCAAGGCGACGAUCCGUAGCUGGUGUGAGAGGAUGAUAAGCCACACUGGAACUGAGACAGGGUCCAGACGACUACGGGAGGGAGCAGUGGGGAAUAGUGGACAAUGGGCGCAAGUCUGAUCCAGCCAUACCGCGUGGGUGAAGAAGGCCUUCGGGUUGUAAAGCCCUUUUGUUGGGAAAGAAAAGCAGCAGGUUAAUACGACGCUGUUCUGACGGUAACCAAAGAAUAAGCACCGGCUAACUUCGUG
This 492-nucleotide ribosomal RNA is filed under the name uncultured bacterium. RNAcentral describes it as "partial 16S ribosomal RNA". It matches the Rfam family "Bacterial small subunit ribosomal RNA", at positions 29 to 507 of the family's 1533-position model. The record is from RNAcentral.